Molecule: ribosomal RNA, 1480 nt
Filed under: uncultured Bordetella sp.
Lineage: Bacteria; Pseudomonadati; Pseudomonadota; Betaproteobacteria; Burkholderiales; Alcaligenaceae
Description: partial 16S-23S ribosomal RNA intergenic spacer
Rfam family: Bacterial small subunit ribosomal RNA
Source: RNAcentral
AGUUUGAUCCUGGCUCAGAUUGAACGCGCUGGCGGAUGCUUUACACAUGCAAGUCGAACGGCAGCACGGACUUCGGUCUGGUGGCGAGUGGCGAACAGGGUUGAUAAUGUAUCGGAACGUGCCUAGUAGCGGGGGGAUAACUACGCGAAAGCGUAGCUAAUACCGCAUACGCCCUUCGGGGGAAAGCGGGGGGACCUUCCCAAGGCCUCCGCACUAUUGACAGCCGAUAUCGGAUUAGCUAGUUGGUGGGGUAACGGCUCGCAAGCGGCGAUCAUCGCUGGUUCUUGAGAGGGACGACCAGCCACACUGGGACUGAGACACGGCAGACUCCUACGGGAGGCAGCAGUGGGGGUACACGGACAAUGGAGGAAACCCUGAUCCAACCAUCACGUGUGCGAUGAGCCCUUCGGGUUGUAAAGCACUUUUGGCAGGAAAAAAACGGCACGGGAUAAUACCCCGUGCAGCUGACGUACCUGCAGAAUAAGCACCGGCUAACUACGUGCCAGCAACCGCGGUAAUACGUAAGUGCAAGCGUUAAUCGGAAUUACUGGGCGUAAAGCGUGCGCAGACGGUUCGGAAAAGAUGUGAAAUCCCAGAGCUUAACUUUGGAACUGCAUUUUCAACUACCGAGCUAGAGUGUGUCAGAGGAGGUGGAAUUCCGCGUGUAGCAGUGAAAUGCGUAAAUUAUGCACGGAGAGGAACACCGAUGGCGAAGGCAGCCUCCUGGAAAUCAACACUGGCAAGCAUGCACAACGUGGGGAGCGGCAAGUUAGAUACCCUGGUAGUCCACGCCUAAACGAUAAUCCCAGUAGCUGUUGGGGCCUUCAGCGCUUGGUAGCGCAACUAACGCUGAAGUUAAACCGCCUGGAAGUACGGUCACCGAUUAAAACUCAAAGAAUUGACGGGGACCCGCACAAGCGGUGGAUGAUGUGGAUUAAUUCGAUGCAACGCGAAAAACCUUACCUACCCUUGACAUGUCUGGAAUCCCGAAGAGAGAUUUGGGAGUGCUCGCAAGAACCGGGAACACCGAGUGCUGCAUGGCUGUCGUCAGCUCGUGUCGUGAGAUGUUGGGUUAAAGUCCCGCAACGAGCGCAACCAUGUCAUUAGUUGCUACGAAAGGGCACUCUAAUGAGACUGCCGGUGACAAACCGGAGGAAGGUGGGGAUGACGUCAAGUCCUCAUAGGCCCUUAUGGGUAGGGCUUCACACGUCAUACAAUGGUCGGGACAGAGGGUCGCCAACCCGCGAGGAGCCAAUCCCAGAAAGCCGAAAUCGAUCCGGAUCGCAGUCUGCAACUCGACUGCGUGAAGUCGGAAUCGCUAGUAAUCGCGGAUCAGCAUGUCGCAGGUGAAUACGUUCCGGGUCUUGUACCCGCACCGCCCGUCACACCAUGGGUGGGUUUUACCAAGUAGUUAGCCUAACCAUCAGGAGGGCGAUUACCACGGUAGGAUUCAUGACUGGGUGAAGUCGUAACAAGGUAA